GCGCCCGUAGCUCAGUUGGAUAGAGCGUCGGCCUCCGGAGCCGAAGGUCGUGAGUUCAAGUCUCGCCGGGCGUGCCA
RNAcentral lists this transfer RNA (77 nucleotides) under Gammaproteobacteria bacterium. RNAcentral describes it as "tRNA-Arg". It matches the Rfam family "tRNA". Rfam says of the family: Transfer RNA (tRNA) molecules are approximately 80 nucleotides in length. The record is from RNAcentral. RNAcentral also lists the same sequence under 1 other name. Lineage: Bacteria; Pseudomonadati; Pseudomonadota; Gammaproteobacteria.